Molecule: ribosomal RNA, 253 nt
Filed under: uncultured bacterium
Lineage: Bacteria
Description: partial 16S ribosomal RNA
Rfam family: Bacterial small subunit ribosomal RNA
Source: RNAcentral
UACGGAGGGAGCUAGCGUUGUUCGGAAUUACUGGGCGUAAAGCGCACGUAGGCGGCUUUGUAAGUUAGAGGUGAAAGCCCGGGGCUCAACCCCGGAACUGCCUUUAAGACUGCAUCGCUUGAAUCCAGGAGAGGUGAGUGGAAUUCCGAGUGUAGAGGUGAAAUUCGUAGAUAUUCGGAAGAACACCAGUGGCGAAGGCGGUCCCCUGGGCCGGAACUGACGCUGAGGCGCGAAAGCGUGGGUAGCAAACGGG